GAGGAACGCUGGCGGCGUGCCUAAUACAUGCAGGUCGAGCAAAAUUUUUCUGGUGCUUGCACCGGAGAACUUAACGCCAAACGGGUGAGAAACACGUAUAGAACCUGCCUCAUAGACUGGGACAACUAUUGGAAACGAUAGCUAAUACCGGAUAACAGCAUUAACUGCAUGGUUGAUGUUUAAGAGUUGGUUUUGCUAACACUAUGACAUGGCUUUGCGGUGCAUUAGCUAGUUGGUGGGGUAAAGGCCUACCGAGGCGACGAUGCAUAGCCGACCUGAGAGGGUGAUCGGACACACUGGGACUGAUACACAGACCAGACUCCUACAGGAGGCAGCAGUAGGGAAUCUUCCGCAAUGGGAGAAAGACUGACCGAUCAACGCCGCGUGAGUGAAGAAGGAUUACGGUUCUUAAAGCUCUGUUGUUAGGGAAGAAUGAUUGUGUAGUAACUAUACACAGGAGAGACCCCACCUAACCAUAAAGUCGCGGCUAACUACGUGACACCAGCCGCGGUAAGACUUAUGUGGCAAGCGAUGGCCGGAAUUAUUGGAAGUACAGCGCGCGCAGGUGGUUUAUAAGUCUGAUGUGAAAGCCCACGGCUCAACCGUGGAGGGUCAUUGGAAACUGUUAAACUUGAGUGCAGGAGAGAAAAGUGGAAUUCCUAGUGUAGCGGUGAAAUGCGUAGAGAUUAGGAGGAACACCAGUGGCGAAGGCGGCUUUUUGGCCUGUAACUGACACUGAGGCGCGAAAGCGUGGGGAGCAAACAGGAUUAGAUACCCUGGUAGUCCACGCCGUAAACGAUGAGUGCUAAGUGUUGGUCUCAUAAGAGAUCAGUGCUGCAGCUAACGCAUUAAGCACUCCGCCUGGGGAGUACGACCGCAAGGUUGAAACUCAAAGGAAUUGACGGGGACCCGCACAAGCGGUGGAGCAUGUGGUUUAAUUCGAAGCAACGCGAAGAACCUUACCAAGUCUUGACAUACUGUGAGGACACAAGAGAUUGUGUUGUUCUGACCUUUGGUUAGACACAGAUACAGGUGGUGCAUGGUUGUCGUCAGCUCGUGUCGUGAGAUGUUGGGUUAAGUCCCGCAACGAGCGCAACCCUUAUAUCUAGUUGCCAGCAGUAAGAUGGGGACUCUAGAUAGACUGCCAGUGAUAAACUGGAGGAAGGUGGGGAUGACGUCAAAUCAUCAUGCCCCUUAUGACUUGGGCUACACACGUGCUACAAUGGAUAGGAACAAAGAGAAGCGAGCUCGCGAGAGUAAGCAAACCUCACAAAACUAUUCUCAGUUCGGAUUGUAGUCUGCAACUCGACUACAUGAAGCUGGAAUCGCUAGUAAUCGCGAAUCAGAAUGUCGCGGUGAAUACGUUCCCGGGUCU
This 1375-nucleotide ribosomal RNA is filed under the name uncultured bacterium. RNAcentral describes it as "bacterial SSU rRNA". It matches the Rfam family "Bacterial small subunit ribosomal RNA", at positions 28 to 1381 of the family's 1533-position model. The record is from RNAcentral.